This 125-nucleotide small RNA is filed under the name Marmota monax (woodchuck). The record is from RNAcentral. Lineage: Eukaryota; Metazoa; Chordata; Mammalia; Rodentia; Sciuridae.
GCCAGGUGUGGUGGCACAUGCCUAUAAUCCCAGAGACUCUGGAGGCUGAGGCAGGAGGAUUAUGGAUUCGAAGCCAGCCUCGGCAAAAGUGAGGCACUAAGCAACUCAGUGAGACCCUGUCUCUA